CCCUCAUUGAUGUGGUCUCUGUCAGAGGCGACGGGGGAUGGAUCCGCAGGCCGGGCAGCUGGAGGUGGAGGCCGCGGCGGGGCGACCACUGGUCCACGGACUGGGCGGAGGACGGGGAGGGGAGGGCGAGUCGCCCCCCACCACCACCACGCGCAGGUUCGCGUUGGGGAUUGAUUCCUACCAGUGAAAUUUGCAAGGGAGCCGACCUACAGUUUCAUGUAUAGCUCGAGCUCGAGGCGGAGACAAGGAAGGUCGGAAAAUGAAGAGAUGGGAUGAAGGUGCUCGCACUGAAUAUAUAUAGUAGCUGGUGCACGAGCUUGCAUUCAACCAGUCUAGACUCAACUCCUCAUAUCGGGUGCGGACUGAGAGUUGGAUGCUCUGUGCCAGCAUAUGGAUGUAUUGCGACCACUGUUGCUUCGGCUGUGAGCGGUCCAGGAUUGCAACCUGGUGUCAUCCACUUCCUACUCACAGGUUACCGUAGUGUUAUGUAAAACAUACCCAAGCUCUCGUUCCUUAAAAUUAUCCAUCUAUUAACUGGAUUAUGAAUAAUUGCUCUUGCAAGUGAAUUUUCAUUACGUGAGUUGAGGAGGAUGCGCGGUCUUCAGACUCGGAGAUUUCUGGUUUUUUCAUUUGAUCAUUUCUGCAGAGAUUGUCCUUCUAUGCAUUAUUUGGUAACCAUCUACUACAGAUCAGCUACUACCCUGCUGCUGCCCUUAUGGUGAAUGAUUGAUGGUGCAUGUUUUCCUGUUAGUUUUUGUGUAUGCCAAGUAUGAAUUUUAUCAUUUUGCAUUUCUCCAGCCCUUUCAUUCUCACUGUGAUUCCGUGAGAUGCAUUGUCCAUAGGCAAUGCACUUUCUAAUAAAAUAUGACGGUGACCUUGAAAAGACUAAUUUAUCUAGAUACAAAAACCUGGUGUUUAUGUUCCCUGCUUUUGCAAAUACUCCCUCCGUCCGGAAAUACUUGUCCUAGGAAUGGUUGUAUCCAAACUUAUUUUAGUUAUAGAUACAUCCAUUUUAUCCAUUUUUAGGACAAGUAUUUCCGGACGGAGGGAGUAGUAGUUUAUGGUUGACACUUUAGUCUAUAUCUGUCAUGCACCCAUCUGGACUAUAAAUAGGACCCUCCACCACCACUUGCUAGCAAGUACUACAUCAUACAACAACAGACACCAUGGAUCUACUUCUGCUACUCAUCUCGCUUCUUAUGGUGAGUGCAAAAAUCAUUUUUUAAUUGGAUAGUUUCUUUCUGUGCGAAGGGGAGCCUUGGCGCAGUGGUAAAGCUGCUGCCUUGUGACCAUGAGGUCACGGGUUCAAGUCCUGGAAACAGCCUCUUACAGAAAUGUAGGGAAAGGCUGCGUACUAUAGACCCAAAGUGGUCGGACCCUUCCCCGACCCUGCGCAAGCGGGAGCUACAUGCACCGGGCUGCCCUUUUUUUAUAGUUUCUUUCUGUGCAGCGCAUCCGCAUACAAAGUGCUUACGUCUGUAGUUAGUUCGUUAAUUAGUUAGCUUGGGUGUUCAUGUGUGUUUCCCACGAAUAGCUUAUCUAUGUUGCUCGUUCUGAUGCACGCAGGUCACUGCAGGAUAGGGAAUCUGGCUUGCGAGUUCUGCCGAUGCGGCCAUGACGGCGAUGCCAAACUCUGAGGAGAUACCAAAGGUGUACUGGGAUAAUCUUGUUGUGCUUUGUUUCUGUAUGAUCUAAAACUACAAGGAUCUUGUGGAGUUCAGAUGUUCUGGAAUGAGUACGAAUCUUACUAUAUCUGAACUUGUGAAAUUAGUCCGAGUCUGACAGUGUUGCAACCAAAACCAAAACCAUAGGGAUCUUGUGCAGUUCAGAUGUUCUGGAAUGAGUACGGAUUUUACUACAUUUGAACUUUGUGAGUCUGACAGCCUUGCAACCAAAACCAAAAUUACAGGGAUAUUGUGACAGCCCUCCAACCAAAACUAAAACGAGAGGGAUCUUUUGCAGUUCAAUGCUACCUGUUGUUUGUUGGAAUAUCAGUUAUCUUGUUUGUGCACAAUAACCUGCUUAUCAUGAAAACGUAGAAUAUUUUAGGAUGGGGCAUCAAGUUGGUUGGCAUUUGUUAAGAUCUUCAUGAGAAGCAGAUCUUCUCAGCCGAACUUUUCUUGUGUGUGUGCGAGGAGCAGUUCUACUAUCUCUUCAUGCUUGAACUGAAAGCAAGAGUAGAAGCCCAUGAGAUGAGCCACAAGGAAAAUAUGCAUGAAAAUGGCACAAUCAUGAUUCAGUUUGGUCAGCAAGUACCUAAUUACAAGUCAUCAGCUAGCGAUUCUCCCCAAGAAGUGUUCGGAAUGAGCAAAGGAAGCUUUAAUGAGAAGAAUAUUGAUGUUGUACAAUAGCCGGAAGAUCACAAGAGAUCGACCUUUUGGGUGGUCUAAUACUUCCUAUAUGGGCACAUCGAAAAGCCACUACGUGUCUAUUAUGAGUACUGCAAUUUAGACAUGAUUAAGAAUGGUACUGGAGUUUGCCUAUCUAUCAUGAUUUUUUAGUUCUGCUUAGUUGAUGGCCUCACGUAAUGUGCCUCCAUGGAUGGAGCUUUCCGGGUCUGCCUUGUUGAAUGUUCUACCAUGGAUGGAGCUUUUGCUGAUACCCUUUCUAAAUAGCUGAUAUUUAUUGUACCUCAUCUUCGCUCCUGGUUGGCGGGGAACCCCUCAUGGUCGAGCCCCUAGCCCCCCACCUUAGCAGCUGCCUGGAGAGGAGGAUAGCUCAAGGACAACUCCCAAUGUGCCGAGGAGAUGGGAACAUGUGAGCUUCUUUGUUUCUUUCUUCCUUCUUUCCUCAUUUUCCCAACCUACAAUUUGUUUUCUAAUUUCUCUACAAGUUUUUCACAGGGUAUUUUAGGGUAUAGCUUGAUUUGGCACUAUCGUGAAGUGGGGUAAUUUUCCAUAUUGAUGUGGUUGGUAUGCACAUCCCACUAAGAAGCAAGGCGCAAUAAAAGCUCAUUUUCCAUUUUGCAAAGGUUCCUUUUAGUAACUGAUGCGUCCAUGUUGAUGCAGCUACAACUAUGGUAAUGCAGGUUAUACUGCAGGGUCCAUGAUGCCUUUCUAAGUAAUUUUACCACAGAUAUUGUAGGUGUUGUGUCGCUUAGCAAACUUUACUCCAGUAUAUGCAACUUUCAGAGUUCUAAUUCGUCUGUGUUAUAACAGAUUUGGUUUGAUCAAUUCAAAUUUCUUAUUCAGGCAUGUAUACACAAAUUGCAGGGUGUAUUAGCGGUUAGGAAACUUGCUUUUAGUAUGCAUUAUUUUCAAGCUUCAAGGCGUAUUAUUAUUCAUUUUUAUGUUAGUUGUCUGUACUUGGCUUACAUUUUUGUUUUCAAAUAGUUCUGCCUCUCAAUUUGAUAUUUCUAUUUGCUUUUGCUUAGUAAUAUGAUGUAUUGUUUUCUUGCUCUAGGCCUACUUGUGUUCAAGGUUCAGUUGAUUGUGUUUCUUAAUUGUGUUUUUUAAUGACAUCAACAUGUGGCACUAAUUCCAUUCUGCAUUGUACUGUGAUUUUUCCAAGGAACACCAUUAUGGCAAUUUUUUGCUCCAUUUUAAGUUUCGCUUGGAUCACUGGCCUACUUGUUCUCACCUCAUCAUCAUGGCCUUUCUUAAGGGUGUUCAGGCAUUUUGUCCUUCUGUAAUUAGUGGCAUUAAAUUAGUGGUCUUCUAUUCGUGUUGCGAACCCCAAUAUGGCAUCUCACCAUUCCCCAUGUUAACUGUGGAUUUAUUUAAUGAUAAUAGGAUAUCAAUUGCCUUUUCUUUAGGAUAAGCCGACGCCUAAUAAGGAUCAGGAGAACAACAGAUAUGCUAAGAGACAACCUUUUGGGGUUAAGGAUAUAAACAACAACAGGGCUUAUGAGGCCGAAGAGAGCUCGCGUGGCGUCUUUUGGUUCUUGAAGACCUGCACGUUGCUGGUGGAGUAGAGCAAAAUAAUUUGGAGGCUUUAAAGCUACUACACUUCAUGUAGUUAGGAUCAAUUCUCUGUUUCAGUUUGAAAUAUUCCCCAUUUCCUCCUAUUUGAUUGAUUCAUCUGAUGGACAUUUUGUCAGGCAAAUAAACAAAAGGCAUAAGUAUUGUUACGAGUGAAGCCAUCCAUACUCCCAUAUGGAAUUCAAUAAAUAGAGAAAUGUUAUUGUUCUUCUACUAA
Molecule: long non-coding RNA, 4137 nt
Organism: Triticum aestivum (bread wheat)
Lineage: Eukaryota; Viridiplantae; Streptophyta; Magnoliopsida; Poales; Poaceae
Exons: 9
Source: RefSeq, a predicted model, not a curated record